GGCAACAUGGCCGAGUGGUCUAAGGCGCUGGAAUUAGGUUAUAUCCUUCAUCCAGUCUUUCUGAGGCGAGGGUUCGAAUCCCUCUGUUGUCA
This 92-nucleotide transfer RNA is filed under the name Laccaria amethystina LaAM-08-1. It matches the Rfam family "tRNA". From Rfam's summary of the family: Transfer RNA (tRNA) molecules are approximately 80 nucleotides in length. Lineage: Eukaryota; Fungi; Basidiomycota; Agaricomycetes; Agaricales; Hydnangiaceae. The record is from Rfam by way of RNAcentral.